AAGAAAAAAAGAGAAAUCAUGGUCCAAAGGAAGAAAUUGUGGUCAAAACCGAUUUAGAGAUAAAACUAUGGUUUUUUUUAGCAAGAGGAGAUUGUGAUUGAGAGUGAGACGAGAUUGCGAGUGCAUUAAUCAUUCCUUCUGAUCAGAUAAGAUGCCUUACAGCUACACCCAGCCAUCAACCAUUGUCUCAACUGUAAGGCAAUAAUCGAUUCAUGCCGAGUGAACCACCUAACGUGUCCUGGGAGGCUGUUUAACGCAUGUUCAAACAUUGAUGAUGGAGAGUGCUAUAUUGGAAGUGGUUUGAUGAGGCUAUGAUCGAAUGAUCGAAUAAUAGUAUUUUCAGCUGCAAAAAUAUAAUAAAUAUCAAUAACCAACCCACUCUAGGCAAAAACAGAAGCUCGUCCUCCAUCUUUGGACUGUUUCUGUUUUUGCUUAGCUAGACUUGUUAGCUCACAACAUUUUAUUAGGACUUUUUGUAGAUGAAGGUAAACCAUGUUUGAUAUUUAGACUCAUUAUCUUCAUAAAAAUCUUCUUAGUCCGUGCUUAACUAAAACAAUUUAAAGCUUGGGAGGUUUCACAAUUUUCUUGUAGAAGCUUGUCAUAAGUUAGAAACUUGAUCUUCUAGUCAAAUGUUUUAUAGCAAUACAUGCUGGUAAGUAAGCGACAAUGUAACAAAUCUGGUUUCUCCUUCCUACAAAACACACACAUGAUAAUACAAAGACAUGUUUCAUUCAUUUGUCAUCACUUCCUGCUAAUUUCUGGUGAGUUAGAAACUUGAUCUUCUAGUCAAAUGUUUUAUAGCAAUACAUGCUGGUAAGU
This is a long non-coding RNA of Eutrema salsugineum, 819 nucleotides long. RefSeq lists it as uncharacterized. NCBI's taxonomy places the organism in Eukaryota, Viridiplantae, Streptophyta, Magnoliopsida, Brassicales, Brassicaceae. The record is from RefSeq and is a predicted model, not a curated record. The transcript is spliced from 3 exons.